Molecule: ribosomal RNA, 439 nt
Filed under: uncultured bacterium
Lineage: Bacteria
Description: partial 16S ribosomal RNA
Rfam family: Bacterial small subunit ribosomal RNA
Source: RNAcentral
CUACGGGACGCUGCAGUGGGGAAUAUUGCACAAUGGACGAAAGUCUGAUGCAGCAACGCCGCGUGGAGGAUGACACAUUUCGGUGCGUAAACUCCUUUUAUAUAAGAAGAUAAUGACGGUAUUAUAUGAAUAAGCACCGGCUAACUCCGUGCCAGCAGCCGCGGUAAUACGGAGGGUGCAAGCGUUACUCGGAAUCACUGGGCGUAAAGAGCGUGUAGGCGGAUAGAUAAGUUGGAAGUGAAAUCCUAUGGCUCAACCAUAGAACUGCUUCCAAAACUGUCUAUCUAGAAUAUGGGAGAGGUAGAUGGAAUUUCUGGUGUAGGGGUAAAAUCCGUAGAGAUCAGAAGGAAUACCGAUUGCGAAGGCGAUCUACUGGAACAUUAUUGACGCUGAGACGCGAAAGCGUGGGGAGCAAACAGGAUUAGAUACCCCGGUAGUC